This 492-nucleotide ribosomal RNA is filed under the name uncultured bacterium. RNAcentral describes it as "partial 16S ribosomal RNA". It matches the Rfam family "Bacterial small subunit ribosomal RNA", at positions 29 to 507 of the family's 1533-position model. The record is from RNAcentral.
AGUGAACGCUGGCGGUAGGCCUAACACAUGCAAGUCGAACGGCAGCACAGUAAGAGCUUGCUCUUACGGGUGGCGAGUGGCGGACGGGUGAGGAAUACAUCGGAAUCUACUUUUUCGUGGGGGAUAACGUAGGGAAACUUACGCUAAUACCGCAUACGACCUACGGGUGAAAGCAGGGGAUCUUCGCACCUUGCGCGACUGAAUGAGCCGAUGCCGGAUUAGCUAGUUGGCGGGGUAAAGGCCCACCAAGGCGACGAUCCGUAGCUGGUCUGAGAGGAUGAUCAGCCACACUGGAACUGGGACACGGGCCAGACUCCUACGGGAGGCAGCAGUGGGGAAUAUUGGACAAUGGGCGCAAGCCUGACCCAGCAAUGCCGCGUGGGUGAAGAAGGCCUUCGGGUUGUAAAGCCCUUUUGUUGGGAAAGAAAAGCAGCAGGUUAAUACCCCGCUGUUCUGACGGUACCCAAAGAAUAAGCACCGGCUAACUUCGUG